RNAcentral lists this ribosomal RNA (2755 nucleotides) under Planctomycetota bacterium. RNAcentral describes it as "Planctomycetes bacterium 23S ribosomal RNA". It matches the Rfam family "Bacterial large subunit ribosomal RNA". The record is from RNAcentral. Lineage: Bacteria; Pseudomonadati; Planctomycetota.
GUGAUCAAGCGACUAAGGGCACAUGGCGGAUGUCUUGGCGUCGAGAGGCGAUGAAGGACGUGGGAACCUGCGAAAAGUCUGAGGGAGCCGGUAACCAGGCUGUGAUCUCAGAAUGUCCGAAUGGGGAAACCCGGCCCGUAUGGGUCAUCGUGCACUGAAUGCAUAGGUGUACGAAGCGAACGUGGGGAACUGAAACAUCUAAGUACCCACAGGAAAGGAAAGCAACAGCGACUCCGUGAGUAGCGGCGAGCGAAAGCGGAUGCGACAAUGGAUGAGUGAAGCGCUUGAAUGGCGCGCCGGAGAAGGUGAAAGCCCUGUAGCCGGAAGUUGUCGUAAGCCCUCGAGUAGGUUCGGUCUCGUGAAACCCGGACUGAAAUUGGGGGGUCCACCCUCCAAGGCUAAGUACUCCUCGACGACCGAUAGUGAAUCAGUAAGGUGACUGAAUGAUGACAAGACCCCCGAUGAGGGGUGUGAAAGAGAACCUGAAACCAUGUGCCUACAAGCUGUCGGAGCUCUUCGGAGUGACGGCGUGCUUUUUGCAUAAUGAGCCCGCGAGUUAGUCUCUGUGGCGAGCCUAAGGCCUACCGGGCCGGAGGCGGAGCGAAAGCGAGUCUGAAUAGGGCGCGUAGUCGCAGGGGCUAGACGCGAAACCCGUGUGAUCUACCCAUGGCCAGGUUGAAGGAGGGGUAAGACCCUCUGGAGGACCGAACCCGUUAACGUUGAAAAGUUAUGGGAUGAGCUGUGGGGAGGAGUCAAAGUCUAAUCAAACCGGGAGAUAGCUCGUUCUCUCCGAAAUAACUUUAGGGUUAGCCUCAAGAAGCAACCGUUGGGGGUAGAGCUACUGGAUCGGAGGUGGGCCCUACCCGGGUACCCCUUCGAACCAAACUCCGAAUACCAACGGCCAAGUCUUGGGAGAUAGACGGCGAGUGACAAUAUCCGUCGUCAAAAGGAGAAUAAUCCAGACCGCCAGCUAAGGUCCCCAAUCUUUGCUUAGUUCAUAAGGAAGUCAGAUUGCUAUGACAGCCAGGAUGUUGGCUUAGAAGCAGCCACCAUUUAAAGAGUGCGUAAUAGCUCACUGGUCGAGGAGUCUGGCGCCGAUAAUGAUCGGGAAUAAGCAUUGAACCGAAGCUGCGGACUUCGUAAGAAGUGGUAGGAGAGCGUUGCUGUCGGCGGUGAAGCGGUCCGGGAACGGUCCGUGGAGCGGCAGCAAGUGCAUAUGCGGGCUUGAGUAACGAUCAAGAAGGUGAGAAUCCUUCUCGCCGAAUACCCAAGGUUUCCUGGGCAAGGUAAAUCCGCCCAGGGUUAGUCGGGACCUAAGGUGAGGCCGAAAGGCGUAGUCGAUGGACAGACGGUUAAUAUUCCGUCACCCUCGUGGCGAUCAAAGCACAGUGCGGAUUUCUUAGUCUGACGGGGCGACCAGUUGUGCCCAGGCCCUCGUGGCCGAUGUCAGCGGCGGAAGUCCCUAGAAAAGCUGUGUGGGCAAAGCGAGGCCCGUACCAAAACUGACACAGGUGGGUGUGGUGAAUAACCUCAGGCGCUCGAGAUAACGGUCGUGAAGGAACUAGGCAAAUUAACCCCGUACGUUCGCAAUAAGGGGGCCCUUCGGGGCGCAGAGAAAAGGCUCUGGGAACUGUUUAUCAAAAACACAGCACUGUGCUAACUCGCAAGAGGAUGUAUACAGUGUGACGCUUGCCCAAUGCCGGAAUGUCACGGAACCGGGUCAGCUUCGGCGAAGCUCGGAACCCAAGCACCGGUCAAUGGCGGCCGUAACUAUGACGGUCCUAAGGUAGCGAAGUUCCUUGUCGGGUAAGUUCCGACGCGCAUGAAUAGCGUAAUCACUGGAGCACUGUCUCCACGACCGACUCGGUGAAAUAGUAGUGGCGGUGAAGAUGCCGCCUCCCCGCAGCAAGACGGAAAGACCCCGUGAACCUUCACUAUAGGCUUUCAUUGGUCACGAGCAUGUUCUGCGUAGGAUAGGUGGGAGGCUUUGAAGCCCGGGCUUUGGCUCGGGUGGAGCCGUUGGUGAAAUACCACCCUGAUCACGUUUGUGUCCUAACCCCGACUCCCGUGAAUCCGGGCGGGGGACAGUGAGUGCUGGUUAGUUUGACUGGGGCGGUCUCCUCCCAAAGAGUAACGGAGGAGUACAAAGGUCGGCUCAGCGCGGAUGGAAACCGCGUGUUAGAGUGUAAGAGCACAAGCCGGCUUUACUGCGAGUCUGACAGGACGAGCAGUUACGAAAGUAGGUUCUAGUGAUCCUGCGAUCCCGUGUGGAAGGGUCGUAGCUCAACGGAUAAAAGGUACUCCGGGGAUAACAGGCUUAUCGCACCCGAGCGUCCAUAGCGGCGGUGCGGUUUGGCACCUCGAUGUCGGCUCAUCGCAUCCUGGGGCUGAAGGCGGUCCCAAGGGUUGGGCUGUUCGCCCAUUAAAGCGGUACGCGAGCUGGGUUCAGACCGGCGCGAGCCAGGUCGGUCCCUAUCUGCUGUGGGCGUUCCAAGCUUGAGAGGAGUCAACUCUAGUACGAGAGGACUGAGUUGGACCAACCCCUGGUGAUCCUGUUGGACUGCUAAGUCCACCGCAGGGUAGCUACGUUGGGCAGGGAUAACCGCUGAAAGCAUCUAAGCGGGAAGCCCCCCUCGAGAUGAGGCUUGGUAGCGCAAGCGAAAGACCCCUGGAAGACUACCAGGUUGAUAGGCCGCGCGUGUAAGGGUCGAGAGGCCCUCAGCGGAGCGGUACUAACGGUCGAACGCUUGAUCAC